GUGCCAGCCGCCGCGGUAAGACGAACCGAGCGAACGUUGUUCGGAAUCACUGGGCUUAAAGGGCGCGUAGGCGGGUGUUCAAGUCCGUGGUGAAAUCCUCCAGCUCAACUGGAGAACUGCCUCGGAUACUGAAUGUCUCGAGGGUGGCAGGGGUAUGCGGAACUAUCGGUGGAGCGGUGAAAUGCGUUGAUAUCGAUAGGAACUCCGGUGGCGAAGGCGGCAUACUGGUCCACUUCUGACGCUGAGGCGCGAAAGCCAGGGGAGCAAACGGGAUUAGAUACCCUUGUAGUCC
Molecule: ribosomal RNA, 292 nt
Filed under: uncultured bacterium
Lineage: Bacteria
Description: partial 16S ribosomal RNA
Rfam family: Bacterial small subunit ribosomal RNA
Source: RNAcentral